Trichoplusia ni (cabbage looper) is the source of this 1692-nucleotide long non-coding RNA. RefSeq lists it as uncharacterized. The record is from RefSeq and is a predicted model, not a curated record. NCBI's taxonomy places the organism in Eukaryota, Metazoa, Arthropoda, Insecta, Lepidoptera, Noctuidae. The transcript has 2 exons.
UUUGUUUUUUAAAUUAUUAUUUUUACUUUAAUAAAAGAUAACUGCGGUGCCGCGGUGUGACAAAUCUAAUUUACAAUAAAUACAUAUUAUAAAAGCGAAUAAUAGCCGUUUUAUACAUAUUAUGUAAUAAACAUUAAUACAGCAGCUAUUUGCGACAACAAAGAACGAGAUCAUGACCUUAGGUGUAUAUAGUAGUUUACCGUAAUUCUGUGACGUAGUCCGGGGGCUAAUGGACAAUUCGGCGUCACAGUGCAGCGUCAGAGUAAUUAGUUAGACGCUUUAAUUACGUGUUUUAGUUCCUACAUUGUUUAUUUUUCUGAUGAGAAGUUUAAAAGUAGCGUAGCAGAGGCAGUUUGGAAACUGCCCCUGGACAAUGUAGGUGUCCUCGAGUAAACCCGAAUUCGGGGCUUCCCGCUUCAAAAGUUUUGACGUCUGUCAAAAGGAUCUACUUGUAACGGACACAGUAUAACCAUAUUCGAAAUACGACCAAUGGUAUUAGUCAUAUCUUUUUUCUGCUGCUAAUGACUAAUAAAAUUGUGCCUUUAGUGUAAAGUACCUAUAAUAUAACCUAACUAAUAAUAUAAUUACUUCAUUUAAAAAUGUGAUAUAAAAUUUACAGGUUUAUAUAGGCCAGUGCCGGAUAUAGCCAGCGCCGGGCCUGCCGCAAAUUCGGCCAGCGGUGCCCUUUGCUUUGCUUUAGGUUUUCAAAUUCUCUCGUUUCGAUUUCACGCGAAAGAUAUUUAACCGAUAAUCAUGAAACUUUUUACACAAUAUGUUCUAGGGCGGAUUAGAAGUAACAUAGAGAUCGUUUUACUCGGCCUAAAAAAGAGGAUUAUGCUUUACAGCGAUGUCCCAAGCGGGAGGAGCCGCGGGCGAAUGCUAGUUAUAAAGUAAAUGUCCAUUGGUAACGCUUUCUACGAUACCAUCCCGCUCUGGCUAGGUCUUUACAACAUAAACGGCUAACCGCGAUAUCGCUGUGAAAAAAUGUUUUUUUUUUUCGACUUAUAUAAUUAAUAGCCAUGUUCACCUUUGGAUAUUUAUCAAGGCAGGUAGGGUUUUGGUAAAAAUUAUCACGCCUUUGCUAUCGAUAUGUCAAAUAUGUCAAUGUCACUUGACUAACCUUGUCAAACAGAUACAUUUUGACUCAGUUUGAGCGCUUGAGCUAACUUCAAAAUUUAUCGAACCCUGGCCGUAAACAAGAAGCUAACAAAUUUUAAUUAUAGUUUACUUAUCUUUUGGUACACCCUUCCUCAGCAUACAUUAACAGAACUCCAUACAUUUGGCUAUAAGGAUUGAGGAUCUAAAAGUAUAUAUACCUGAUCGUAAGAUUCGACAUAGCAAAUAGUGUUAUUCUGUUUGAAUUAUGUCAAGUGUGGGUGCAGGCUGGUGGUACGGUAUUUUCUUGGAUGCCUAUACUUAUUCGACAAACUAUUUGCUUUUUACGAUAACGAUCUUAAUAACAUCCGUACUGUUUUUGUGGAUUUAUGAAAAACCUCAGUUUUAUAAGUUAAUAUUCAAAAGAAGUAAACAUUCCAUUAUUAUUGUGAGCUCCACUCAAAGUGAAGAAGCUCUUGAAAAUUACAACGCAACUCUUUUGGACCAUGAAAUAACAAAUAAUCAAGAUGAAAAGAAGAAUGUUCAACUUGUACCUGAUUCAGAAUCUUGUCAUUAAAUUAAAUUAAUUUAUAACUG